AGAUUGAACGCUGGCGGCAUGCCUAACACAUGCAAGUCGAACGGCAGCGCGGGUAGCAAUACCUGGCGGCGAGUGGCGGACGGGUGAGGAACACAUAGGAAUCUACCCUGUCGUGGGGGAUAACGUAGGGAAACUUACGCUAAUACCGCAUACGACCGAGAGGUGAAAGCGGCGGACCGCAAGGCGUCGCGCGGCUGGAUGAGCCUAUGUCCGAUUAGCUAGUUGGCGGGGUAAGAGCCCACCAAGGCGACGAUCGGUAGCUGGUCUGAGAGGAUGAUCAGCCACACUGGGACUGAGACACGGCCCAGACUCCUACGGGAGGCAGCAGUGGGGAAUAUUGGACAAGUGGG
RNAcentral lists this ribosomal RNA (350 nucleotides) under uncultured soil bacterium. RNAcentral describes it as "bacterial SSU rRNA". It matches the Rfam family "Bacterial small subunit ribosomal RNA", at positions 26 to 376 of the family's 1533-position model. The record is from RNAcentral.